This 77-nucleotide transfer RNA is filed under the name Klebsiella pneumoniae. RNAcentral's name for it is "tRNA-Met". It matches the Rfam family "tRNA". Rfam says of the family: Transfer RNA (tRNA) molecules are approximately 80 nucleotides in length. RNAcentral also lists the same sequence under 5 other names. Lineage: Bacteria; Pseudomonadati; Pseudomonadota; Gammaproteobacteria; Enterobacterales; Enterobacteriaceae. The record is from RNAcentral.
CGCGGGGUGGAGCAGCCUGGUAGCUCGUCGGGCUCAUAACCCGAAGGUCGUCGGUUCAAAUCCGGCCCCCGCAACCU